GCUGUGGAACAACCACCAAAACCAAAACGUCAAAAGACCGGAUCUAACGAGGAUAAGAGAAACAGGGCAUCGCCUGCAAGGCUUUUCAAGCUGAAUAAACUUCUUGUACCUGUUCAACAAGGCCAAGCUCAAGUCACUUUCAGUCAAUUUCUGACACCAGCCUUAUACAGAUCAUGGGGAAAGAGAAAGGGAGGCGUGUGUUCUUCAGUAACCCAGGG
This is a long non-coding RNA of Triticum dicoccoides, 218 nucleotides long. RefSeq lists it as uncharacterized. The record is from RefSeq and is a predicted model, not a curated record. NCBI's taxonomy places the organism in Eukaryota, Viridiplantae, Streptophyta, Magnoliopsida, Poales, Poaceae. The transcript has 3 exons.